RNAcentral lists this ribosomal RNA (372 nucleotides) under uncultured bacterium. RNAcentral describes it as "bacterial SSU rRNA". It matches the Rfam family "Bacterial small subunit ribosomal RNA", at positions 29 to 403 of the family's 1533-position model. The record is from RNAcentral.
AUUGAACGCUGGCGGCAUGCCUUACACAUGCAAGUCGAACGGCAGCACGGGAGCAAUCCUGGUGGCGAGUGGCGAACGGGUGAGUAAUACAUCGGAACGUGCCCAGUAGUGGGGGAUAACCCGGCGAAAGCCGGACUAAUACCGCAUACGACCUACGGGUGAAAGCAGGGGAUCGCAAGACCUUGCGCUAUCGGAGCGGCCGAUGUCAGAUUAGCUAGUUGGAGGGUAAAAGCCUACCAAGGCAACGAUCUGUAGCUGGUCUGAGAGGACGACCAGCCACACUGGGACUGAGACACGGCCCAGACUCCUACGGGAGGCAGCAGUGGGGAAUUUUGGACAAUGGGCGCAAGCCUGAUCCAGCCAUGCCGCGUG